RNAcentral lists this ribosomal RNA (219 nucleotides) under Staphylococcus cohnii. Its description in RNAcentral is "partial 23S ribosomal RNA". It matches the Rfam family "Bacterial large subunit ribosomal RNA", at positions 354 to 573 of the family's 2925-position model. The record is from RNAcentral. Lineage: Bacteria; Bacillati; Bacillota; Bacilli; Caryophanales; Staphylococcaceae.
AUCAAAGAAGGUAAUAAUCCUGUAGUCGAAAAUCUGUUCUCUCUUGAGUGGAUCCUGAGUACGACGGAACACGAGAAAUUCCGUCGGAAUCUGGGAGGACCAUCUCCCAAGGCUAAAUACUCUCUAGUGACCGAUAGUGAACCAGUACCGUGAGGGAAAGGUGAAAAGUACCCCGGAAGGGGAGUGAAAGAGAACUUGAAACCGUGUGCUUACAAGUAG